Molecule: ribosomal RNA, 253 nt
Filed under: uncultured bacterium
Lineage: Bacteria
Description: partial 16S ribosomal RNA
Rfam family: Bacterial small subunit ribosomal RNA
Source: RNAcentral
UACGAAGGGGGCUAGCGUUGCUCGGAAUGACUGGGCGUAAAGGGCGCGUAGGCGGUUUGCACAGUCAGAUGUGAAAUUCCUGGGCUCAACCUGGGGGCUGCAUUUGAUACGUGUAGACUUGAGUGGGGAAGAGGGUAGUGGAAUUCCCAGUGUAGAGGUGAAAUUCGUAGAUAUUGGGAAGAACACCGGUGGCGAAGGCGGCGACCUGGUCCUUGACUGACGCUGAGGCGCGAAAGCGUGGGGAGCAAACAGG